ACCCAGGAGGACAAAGAAUGGGCUCAGGCAUCCUUGUUACAGCUUGGGCGUUUUACAGGAAUGGGGUGGAUUUUGAGUCCAGAGACACCUCAGACUCUCCCAAUCAAGAUGUUUGAUGGGCUGGUGACCAGCCCAGGUUUUGUCCAAGCUGAGGACAAGGCUAUAUAUGUGCUGUCAAUGCUUGUUGUCAAUGAUCAGGAGAAGCAGCAGAUUGAGGAAGCAACUGUUGGCCAGGCUAAGAACUCAUUAUGGUUUACAUAUCGCAAGAAAAGG
Fundulus heteroclitus (mummichog) is the source of this 273-nucleotide long non-coding RNA. RefSeq lists it as uncharacterized. Lineage: Eukaryota; Metazoa; Chordata; Actinopteri; Cyprinodontiformes; Fundulidae. The record is from RefSeq and is a predicted model, not a curated record. The transcript is spliced from 3 exons.